Molecule: small RNA, 96 nt
Filed under: unclassified sequences
Also listed under: 1 other name
Description: ATPC.2008-01-16 RNA
Rfam family: ATPC RNA motif
Source: RNAcentral
UUUACAAAAGGCAUAUAAUCUGCCAAAAUACCUAAUCGCGUAGGUCUGAAAAAUUCAGACCCAUUCUUAAUUAGAUUAAUAGAAUGUCCAAGCGCG